GGGAUCCAGCUUCGGGACUCAGCUCGAGGUGACCGACUGCUGCCACAGGCUCGUGGGCACGAGUGGCGCUGCGCGGACACUUUGGGGGUUAGGCGUGCGUGGGCCGUCGGGGCGCAUUUCCUGCACGUGGCUCCUCGUCGCCCUCCCUCCUCCACCAGCAAGGAGAGCAGAGGGCCAGGAGCCCUAUGAAGAUGCGCGCGAUUCCCUGGUCCUGGCAGGCAGGACCGCAGCGGGAUGGUCGCGCGCCACCUACCAGGGGCAGGUCACCCGCAGAUCCCCUGCGCGCUUGUUCUGGCUGGCUGGACCAGGAGAUGCGUACCUCCGCGGGCGCAGCUGUGAUCUUAGAGAGUUAACUAAGGUGUCUCGAGGACCUAAGUGCAUGGCAUGACUGGCUGGAGCACACCCUGCGUUCACAGGAGGUUCAUAGAUGUCUAUAUGAGCCGCUGCUGAAGAUGCGGGAAUACACCAGAGAAAAUCCCGAAAUGGUGAGUCUGCAGAUCUGGCAAAGAAGAGCUCAUGGAAGACUUCCAGGCUGCACUCCUGGAAUAUGCCUUGGCCAUGUC
This is a long non-coding RNA of Mus pahari (shrew mouse), 563 nucleotides long. RefSeq lists it as uncharacterized. NCBI's taxonomy places the organism in Eukaryota, Metazoa, Chordata, Mammalia, Rodentia, Muridae. The record is from RefSeq and is a predicted model, not a curated record. The transcript has 3 exons.